RNAcentral lists this ribosomal RNA (497 nucleotides) under uncultured bacterium. RNAcentral's name for it is "partial 16S ribosomal RNA". It matches the Rfam family "Bacterial small subunit ribosomal RNA", at positions 28 to 507 of the family's 1533-position model. The record is from RNAcentral.
GAUGAACGCUGGCGGCGUGCCUAAUACAUGCAAGUCGAGCGAACAGACGAGGAGCUUGCUCCUCUGACGUUAGCGGCGGACGGGUGAGUAACACGUGGAUAACCUACCUAUACGACUGGGAUAACUUCGGGAAACCGGAGCUAAUACCGGAUAAUAUAUUGACCCGCAUGGUUCAAUAGUGAAAGACGGUUUUGCUGUCACUUAUAGAUGGAUCCGCGCCGCAUUAGCUAGUUGGUAAGGUAACGGCUUACCAAGGCAACGAUGCGUAGCCGACCUGAGAGGGUGAUCGGCCACACUGGAACUGAGACACGGUCCAGACUCCUACGGGAGGCAGCAGUAGGGAAUCUUCCGCAAUGGGCGAAAGCGUGACGGAGCAACGCCGCGUGAGGGAUGAAGGUCUUCGGAUCGUAAAACUCUGUUAGUAGGGAAGAACAAAUGUGUAAGUAACUAUGCACGUCUUGACGGUACCUAAUCAGAAAGCCACGGCUAACUACGUG